UGGGGAAUAUUGGACAAUGGGCGCAAGCCUGAUCCAGCCAUGCCGCGUGAGUGAUGAAGGCCCUAGGGUUGUAAAGCUCUUGCGUGCGGGAAGAUAAUGACGGUACCGCAAGAAUAAGCCCCGGCUAACUUCGUGCCAGCAGCCGCGGUAAUACGAAGGGGGCUAGCGUUGCUCGGAAUCACUGGGCGUAAAGGGUGCGUAGGCGGGUCUUUAAGUCAGGGGUGAAAUCCUGGAGCUCAACUCCAGAACUGCCUUUGAUACUGAAGAUCUUGAGUUCGGGAGAGGUGAGUGGAACUGCGAGUGUAUAGGUGAAAUUCGUAGAUAUUCGCAAGAACACCAGUGGCGAAGGCGGCUCACUGGCCCGAUACUGACGCUGAGGCACGAAAGCGUGGGGAGCAAACAG
This 403-nucleotide ribosomal RNA is filed under the name uncultured bacterium. Its description in RNAcentral is "bacterial SSU rRNA". It matches the Rfam family "Bacterial small subunit ribosomal RNA", at positions 355 to 775 of the family's 1533-position model. The record is from RNAcentral.